Molecule: ribosomal RNA, 385 nt
Filed under: uncultured bacterium
Lineage: Bacteria
Description: bacterial SSU rRNA
Rfam family: Bacterial small subunit ribosomal RNA
Source: RNAcentral
UGGGGAAUAUUGGACAAUGGGCGCAAGCCUGAUCCAGCCAUGCCGCGUGAGUGAUGAAGGCCCUAGGGUUGUAAAGCUCUUUCGCCAGGGACGAUAAUGACGGUACCUGGAUAAGAAGCCCCGGCUAACUUCGUGCCAGCAGCCGCGGUAAUACGAAGGGGGCUAGCGUUGUUCGGAAUCACUGGGCGUAAAGCGCACGUAGGCGGAUCUUUAAGUCAGGGGUGAAAUCCCGGGGCUCAACCUCGGAACUGCCUUUGAUACUGGAGGUCUCGAGUCCGGGAGAGGUGAGUGGAACUGCGAGUGUAGAGGUGAAAUUCGUAGAUAUUCGCAAGAACACCAGUGGCGAAGGCGGCUCACUGGCCCGGUACUGACGCUGAGGUGCGAA